GACGAACGCUGGCGGCGUGCUUAACACAUGCAAGUCGAACGGAAAGGCCCUGCUUUUGUUGGGUGCUCGAUUGGCGAACGGGUGAGUAACACGUGAGUAACCUGCCCUUGACUUUGGGAUAACUUCAGGAAACUGGGGCUAAUACCGGAUAGGAGCUCCUGCUGCAUGGUGGGGGUUGGAAAGUUUCGGCGGUGGGGGAUGGACUCGAGGCUUAUCAGCUGGUUGGUGGGGUAGUGGCUUACCAAGGCUUUGACGGGUAGCCGGCCUGAGAGGGUGACCGGCCACAUUGGGACUGAGAUACGGCCCAGACUCCUACGGGAGGCAGCAGUGGGGAAUAUUGCACAAUGGGCGGAAGCCUGAUGCAGCAACGCCGCGUGCGGGAUGACGGCCUUCGGGUUGUAAACCGCUUUCGCCUGUGACGAAGCGUGAGUGACGGUAAUGGGUAAAGAAGCACCGGCUAACUACGUG
Molecule: ribosomal RNA, 468 nt
Filed under: uncultured bacterium
Lineage: Bacteria
Description: partial 16S ribosomal RNA
Rfam family: Bacterial small subunit ribosomal RNA
Source: RNAcentral